AUACGGAGGGUGCAAGCGUUAAUCGGAAUUACUGGGCGUAAAGAGUACGUAGGUGGUUUGUUAAGUCAGAUGUGAAAGCCCCGGGCUCAACCUGGGAACUGCAUUUGAAACUGGCAAACUAGAGUAUGGUAGAGGGGGGUAGAAUUUCUAGUGUAGCGGUGAAAUGCGUAGAUAUUAGAAGGAAUACCAGUGGCGAAGGCGGCCCCCUGGACCAAUACUGACACUGAGGUACGAAAGCGUGGGUAGCGAACAGGAUUAGAUACCCUAGUAGUCC
RNAcentral lists this ribosomal RNA (274 nucleotides) under uncultured bacterium. RNAcentral describes it as "partial 16S ribosomal RNA". It matches the Rfam family "Bacterial small subunit ribosomal RNA", at positions 523 to 796 of the family's 1533-position model. The record is from RNAcentral.